UUUAAAUUGAGAGUUUGAUCCUGGCUCAGGAUGAACGCUGGCGGCGUGCCUAAUACAUGCAAGUCGUACGCUAGCCGCUGAAUUGAUCCUUCGGGUGAAGUGAGGCAAUGACUAGAGUGGCGAACUGGUGAGUAACACGUAAGAAACCUGCCCUUUAGUGGGGGAUAACAUUUGGAAACAGAUGCUAAUACCGCGUAACAACAAAUCACACAUGUGAUCUGUUUGAAAGGUCCUUUUGGAUCGCUAGAGGAUGGUCUUGCGGCGUAUUAGCUUGUUGGUAGGGUAGAAGCCUACCAAGGCAAUGAUGCGUAGCCGAGUUGAGAGACUGGCCGGCCACAUUGGGACUGAGACACUGCCCAAACUCCUACGGGAGGCUGCAGUAGGGAAUUUUCCGCAAUGCACGAAAGUGUGACGGAGCGACGCCGCGUGUGUGAUGAAGGCUUUCGGGUCGUAAAGC
RNAcentral lists this ribosomal RNA (457 nucleotides) under Oenococcus oeni. Its description in RNAcentral is "bacterial SSU rRNA". It matches the Rfam family "Bacterial small subunit ribosomal RNA", at positions 1 to 431 of the family's 1533-position model. Lineage: Bacteria; Bacillati; Bacillota; Bacilli; Lactobacillales; Lactobacillaceae. The record is from RNAcentral.